RNAcentral lists this ribosomal RNA (497 nucleotides) under uncultured bacterium. RNAcentral describes it as "partial 16S ribosomal RNA". It matches the Rfam family "Bacterial small subunit ribosomal RNA", at positions 28 to 507 of the family's 1533-position model. The record is from RNAcentral.
GAUGAACGCUGGCGGCGUGCCUAAUACAUGCAAGUCGAGCGAACAGACGAGGAGCUUGCUCCUCUGACGUUAGCGGCGGACGGGUGAGUAACACGUGGAUAACCUACCUAUAAGACUGGGAUAACUUUGGGAAACCGGAGCUAAUACCGGAUAAUAUAUUGAACCGCAUGGUUCAAUAGUGAAAGACGGUUUUGCUGUCACUUAUAGAUGGAUCCGCGCCGCAUUAGCUAGUUGGUAAGGUAACGGCUUACCAAGGCGACGAUGCGUAGCCGACCUGAGAGGGUGAUCGGCCACACUGGAACUGAGACACGGUCCAGACUCCUACGGGAGGCAGCAGUAGGGAAUCUUCCGCAAAGGGCGAAAGCCUGACGGAGCAACGCCGCGUGAGUGAUGAAGGUCUUCGGAUCGUAAAACUCUGUUAUUAGGGAAGAACAAAUGUGUAAGUAACUAUGCACGUCUUGACGGUACCUAAUCAGAAAGCCACGGCUAACUACGUG